AUCGCUUUGAAUUAAUUUUAAUUAACUUAAUCUAUUUAAAAUUAUUAUAAUAAAAAUUAUAUUAAAACGAAAGCAUUUCGUAGUUUGGCCAAUGUCAUAUGCUUCUUUCGAACAAUAUAUUUUUAGAUCGAGGAAUAUCGAGCUACCAUCAGAUGAUCUGUUAGACACGUGUCAUUAGAAACAACACAGAACAAGUGAUUACAACAUCAAUGAUUCCAAAGAAAAAAUUCAAUCAAAAAAUUCAUAAAUCAGAAAUCUACAAUGGAUUUUAAAUUAAUAAUUCUUUCAUGG
Molecule: long non-coding RNA, 291 nt
Organism: Apis dorsata (giant honeybee)
Lineage: Eukaryota; Metazoa; Arthropoda; Insecta; Hymenoptera; Apidae
Exons: 2
Source: RefSeq, a predicted model, not a curated record